Coffea arabica (coffee) is the source of this 1834-nucleotide RNA transcript. RefSeq lists it as uncharacterized. The record is from RefSeq and is a predicted model, not a curated record. NCBI's taxonomy places the organism in Eukaryota, Viridiplantae, Streptophyta, Magnoliopsida, Gentianales, Rubiaceae.
CUUUUCUUUUUUGUGAAUAAAGGAAGCAAGCAAAGUUCGAGUCUAUCAUCCCCAGGAGUAUCCAAUUAAUCUGGCAUAUGAUAAAGCCAGACCAAAAGUUACUUCUGCAAACUCACACCCAACUUCUAUGUGUGGAUAUUAAUGUGUUGCACCUGCGAAACAAGUCGAUUUCCAUUGAUUUUGAACAAGAAACGGUACCAUUUUGAGGAAAUUUUGUAAAUAUUAGCCACCAAAGUUUUUAAUUUUUUUGAAAAACGUGUACAUCUUGAAAUCAAGAUAUUAUAUAUAACCAUAGUUGGUGCUUAGGAAGGUAAUUGAUAUUAUAAUCACGUAGUCUUUUUAUUAUAAUUGCUAAGGGAGGUAAGUGAUACUUUUAAAAUCUGACGGGUGUCAAGUAAUAUUAAGAGAAACCUCAAGGGAGGUUUCUGAUACCUGUUUUGAAGAGUUAUCCUGAAAGCCAAAACCCCGGCUCUUCCUGUUACUCAAGGGAGAUUUGCACUGUUAGUCCUCUAAGUUUUGAACUUGAGUCAAUUUCAUAUUUUGUCCGUCUCGACCAAGAACUUUACCCUCUGCCCCUGAGAAAAAUCAAAUCAAGAAUUGUUGCCGGUUCUGUUCUACUGUAGUUGGAUUCUGGAAUUGUAAUGCGACGCUGGAGGAAGAAGCGCAGGAUUUUCAAGAGUAAAGUGAGAAUUAAAGCAAAAAAGAGAGUUUUGAAAGAGGAAAAAAUAACACGGGGGGUGAGUCCGUUAGUUGAGAAGUACUGGCUCCAGAGGUACGAUUUAUUUUGGAGAUAUGAUGAAGGAAUUAAGUUAGACGAAGAAGGCUGGUUUUCCGUUACUCCGGAGGAGAUUGCCGUCGGCCAUGCUCAGCGUUGCACCGGCGCCGGUGUCGUCAUCGAUUGUUUCGCUGGCGUAGGUGGUAAUGCCAUUCAAUUUGCUCGAGUGUGUGAUCAUGUAGUUGCCAUUGACAUUGACCCCGAAAAAGUUGCCCUGGCAAUGAACAAUGCCAAGGUAUAUGGUGUUGAAGACCACAUCGAUUUCAUUGUUGGAGACUUUUUUCAGCUGGCACCAUCCCUCAAGGGAGAUGUAUUGUUUCUUUCACCACCAUGGGGAGGUCCAUCAUACAAGAUGACUAAGAAAUUUACUCUGGACUCACUGAAGCCUAAAGAUGGGCACUCCUUGUUUCAAGUUGCACAAAAAAUAACACCUCAUAUAAUCAUGUACUUACCCAGAAAUGUGGACUUACUGGAAGUGGAGCAACUUUCUUGGUUGUCUUCACCGCCUUUGGAUAUUGAGAUAGAGGGAAAUACAGUCAGAGGCCAUUUUAAGGCAAUAACUGUCUACUUUGGUGAUGCUGCCAUAACACAGCUUUGUCUCCCUCGAACACUAUCAGGUUAAAGUUGCACCAUUUGUUCAUUAUGGUUGACGGUAUCCACUGAAAAUGUACAAGGUGCUGCAUGUAAAGUAUGCAUUUAGUCGUACUGCUCCGGAAUUGGUUCAAGACUGACUGACAACAACUGACUUGGUAGAAUACUUGGGUUCUGUUGAAAGGAGAUGGUCUGAUACACCAAUUGAUCAGCUCUGAAGGCAGUUGAGACUUGAGAGGAAUCUCUUCCUUAACUUGUUAAACUUAUUUAUUGGAGUUGCAGCUCAACUGAGAACUUUGUUGUACAUUUCAUUCUUUUUGACCGUCAUAGUCUGUCCUUGAAGAAUUGGCCCACCUUUGUACAUUUUGUACGUGUAAUUUUCCAUUAUCUGCAAGUGUGCUAGUCCUUCUGAUACGUGUUUGAUGCUAGUUCAAGAUACCUGAAAAUCUUUAGAACCUUUAUCUCUUU